This 1294-nucleotide ribosomal RNA is filed under the name Escherichia coli. RNAcentral describes it as "partial 23S ribosomal RNA". It matches the Rfam family "Bacterial large subunit ribosomal RNA", at positions 1085 to 2364 of the family's 2925-position model. The record is from RNAcentral. Lineage: Bacteria; Pseudomonadati; Pseudomonadota; Gammaproteobacteria; Enterobacterales; Enterobacteriaceae.
CCAGACAGCCAGGAUGUUGGCUUAGAAGCAGCCAUCAUUUAAAGAAAGCGUAAUAGCUCACUGGUCGAGUCGGCCUGCGCGGAAGAUGUAACGGGGCUAAACCAUGCACCGAAGCUGCGGCAGCGACACUAUGUGUUGUUGGGUAGGGGAGCGUUCUGUAAGCCUGCGAAGGUGUACUGUGAGGUAUGCUGGAGGUAUCAGAAGUGCGAAUGCUGACAUAAGUAACGAUAAAGCGGGUGAAAAGCCCGCUCGCCGGAAGACCAAGGGUUCCUGUCCAACGUUAAUCGGGGCAGGGUGAGUCGACCCCUAAGGCGAGGCCGAAAGGCGUAGUCGAUGGGAAACAGGUUAAUAUUCCUGUACUUGGUGUUACUGCGAAGGGGGGACGGAGAAGGCUAUGUUGGCCGGGCGACGGUUGUCCCGGUUUAAGCGUGUAGGCUGGUUUUCCAGGCAAAUCCGGAAAAUCAAGGCUGAGGCGUGAUGACGAGGCACUACGGUGCUGAAGCAACAAAUGCCCUGCUUCCAGGAAAAGCCUCUAAGCAUCAGGUAACAUCAAAUCGUACCCCAAACCGACACAGGUGGUCAGGUAGAGAAUACCAAGGCGCUUGAGAGAACUCGGGUGAAGGAACUAGGCAAAAUGGUGCCGUAACUUCGGGAGAAGGCACGCUGAUAUGUAGGUGAAGUCCCUCGCGGAUGGAGCUGAAAUCAGUCGAAGAUACCAGCUGGCUGCAACUGUUUAUUAAAAACACAGCACUGUGCAAACACGAAAGUGGACGUAUACGGUGUGACGCCUGCCCGGUGCCGGAAGGUUAAUUGAUGGGGUUAGCGCAAGCGAAGCUCUUGAUCGAAGCCCCGGUAAACGGCGGCCGUAACUAUAACGGUCCUAAGGUAGCGAAAUUCCUUGUCGGGUAAGUUCCGACCUGCACGAAUGGCGUAAUGAUGGCCAGGCUGUCUCCACCCGAGACUCAGUGAAAUUGAACUCGCUGUGAAGAUGCAGUGUACCCGCGGCAAGACGGAAAGACCCCGUGAACCUUUACUAUAGCUUGACACUGAACAUUGAGCCUUGAUGUGUAGGAUAGGUGGGAGGCUUUGAAGUGUGGACGCCAGUCUGCAUGGAGCCGACCUUGAAAUACCACCCUUUAAUGUUUGAUGUUCUAACGUUGGCCCCUAAUCGGGGUUGCGGACAGUGUCUGGUGGGUAGUUUGACUGGGGCGGUCUCCUCCUAAAGAGUAACGGAGGAGCACGAAGGUUGGCUAAUCCUGGUCGGACAUCAGGAGGUUAGUGCAAUGGCAUAAGC